This 467-nucleotide ribosomal RNA is filed under the name uncultured bacterium. RNAcentral describes it as "bacterial SSU rRNA". It matches the Rfam family "Bacterial small subunit ribosomal RNA", at positions 28 to 487 of the family's 1533-position model. The record is from RNAcentral.
GAUGAACGCUAGCGGCAGGCUUAACACAUGCAAGUCGAGGGGCAGCGUGGAGCAGCAAUGCUCUGACGGCGACCGGCGGAAGGGUGCGUAACACGUGAGCGACUUGCCCGUCACAGGGGGAUAACCGGCGGAAACGGCGACUAAUACCCCAUAUGAUGCGAUGCUGCAUGGCAUUGCAUUGAAAGAUUCAUCGGUGGCGGAUAGGCUCGCGGGACAUUAGCUAGACGGCGGGGCAACGGCCCACCGUGGCGACGAUGUCUAGGGGUUCUGAGAGGAAGGCCCCCCCANACUGGGACUGAGACACGGCCCAGACUCCUACGGGAGGCAGCAGUGAGGAAUAUUGGUCAAUGGGCGGAAGCCUGAACCAGCCAUGCCGCGUGAAGGACUAAGGGCCCUACGGGUCGUAAACUUCUUUAGACGCAGAGCAAUAAGGUCCACGCGUGGACCGAUGAGAGUAUGCGUAGAAU